ACUCAAAUGAAUUGACGGGGGCCCGCACAAGCGGUGGAUGAUGUGGUUUAAUUCGAUGCAACGCGAAAAACCUUACCUACCCUUGACAUGCCAGGAACUCUCCAGAGACGGAGAGGUGCCCGAAAGGGAGCCUGGACACAGGUGCUGCAUGGCUGUCGUCAGCUCGUGUCGUGAGAUGUUGGGUUAAGUCCCGCAACGAGCGCAACCCUUGCCAUUAGUUGCUACAUUUAGUUGGGCACUCUAAUGGGACUGCCGGUGACAAACCGGAGGAAGGUGGGGAUGACGUCAAGUCCUCAUGGCCCUUAUGGGUAGGGCUACACACGUCAUACAAUGGUCGGUACAGAGGGUUGCCAACUCGCAAGAGGGAGCCAAUCUCAGAAAGCCGAUCGUAGUCCGGAUCGCAGUCUGCAACUCGACUGCGUGAAGUCGGAAUCGCUAGUAAUCGCGGAUCAGCAUGUCGCGGUGAAUACGUUCCCGGGCCUUGCACACACCGCCCGU
Molecule: ribosomal RNA, 498 nt
Filed under: uncultured bacterium
Lineage: Bacteria
Description: partial 16S ribosomal RNA
Rfam family: Bacterial small subunit ribosomal RNA
Source: RNAcentral